Molecule: ribosomal RNA, 1363 nt
Filed under: human gut metagenome
Description: bacterial LSU rRNA
Rfam family: Bacterial large subunit ribosomal RNA
Source: RNAcentral
CAUUCAAAGAGUGCGUAACAGCUCACUGGUCGAGUGGACAUGCGCCGACAAUACACGGGGCUAAGCUGGACACCGAAGCGGCGGGAUUUUAAUUCAUUAGAAUCGGUAGGGGAGCUUCCCAUGGGCGGAGAAGCCGGAGGGCGACCGACGGUGGAGCGCAUGGGAGUGAGAAUGCUGGCAUGAGUAGCGAGAGACGAGAGAGUAACUCGUCCGCCGUGAACCCGAGGUUUCCUGGGCAAGGCUAAUCCUCCCAGGGUCAGUCGGGGGCUAAGGCGAGGCCGGUAGGCGUAGCCGACGCGCAGCAGGCAGACAUUCCUGCACCGCGCACGCGGCGCUACGACCGACGGGGCGACGGAUGGGGGUGGCUCGGCGGGGUUCUGGACGUCCCCGUGAUGGAGCGCGGCCCGCGGACCAGGGAAAUCCGGUCCGCAUCAAGGGCGAGGCUCCGGACGAAGCACUUAAGCGAAGCGAGUGAGCCCGAGGUCCCUAGAAAAACCCCUAGGCAGGCGCGUGCGCGCCCGUACCGCAAACCGACACAGGUGGGUGGGUAGAACAUACCGAGGCGAUCGGGUCAACCAUGGUCAAGGAACUCGGCACAAUGGCCCCGUAACUUCGGGAGAAGGGGUGCCCGCGCGUACGUGAACCGGCUUGCCCGGGGAGCGGAGGCGGGCCGCAGUUGAGAGGCCCAAGCGACUGUUUACCAAAAACACAGGACUCUGCAGAAGCCGCAAGGCGACGUAUAGGGUCUGACGCCUGCCCGGUGCCGGAAGGUCACGCGGAGGAGUUAGCCGCAAGGCGAAGCCCCGAAGCCAAGCCCCGGUAAACGGCGGCCGUAACUAUAACGGUCCUAAGGUAGCGAAAUUCCUUGUCGGGUAAGUUCCGACCUGCACGAAAGGCGCAACGACUUGGGCGCUGUCUCGACCAUGGACCCGGUGAAAUUGCACUGGUCGUGAAGAUGCGACUUACCCGCGGAAGGACGGAAAGACCCCGUGAACCUUCACUGCAGCUUGGCAUUGGCCGCUGGUCCCGCGUGUAGAGGAUAGGCAGGAGGCUAAGAUCCGGAGGCGCCAGCCCCCGGGGAGCCGCCCUUGGAAUACUGCCCUCGCGCGACCGGCGUCCUAACCCGAGGCCGUCAACCGGCUCGGGGACCGUGCCAGGCGGGCAGUUUGACUGGGGCGGUCGCCUCCUAAAGGGUAACGGAGGCGCGCGAAGGUCCGCUCGGGACGGUCGGCAACCGUCCUUUUGAAUGCAAGAGUACAAGCGGGCUUGACUGCGAGGCCCACAAGCCGAGCAGGUGCGAAAGCAGGCUCUAGUGAUCCGGCGGCCCCGAGUGGGUGGGCCGUCGCUCAACGGAUAAAAGGUA